AUUUUCUAAUGCUGCUCUGAAUUAAGUUUUUUCUUUAUUUUGUGAACUUUUUUUAGGAUGGUAAAGAUAUAGUCAAAACAUCUGUUGAGAACUUAGUCAAUCAAGAAUCACUGGACAAUAUGUACCAUUGUGUAUCUAUUGUGAGAGAUGGCCAAUAGUUUGCAUCCUAAUAUAACAGGUUAUGCUACGAGUAACUAAAAUAACUCCCAGUGAAAAUCAUCUUUCUUUUUUCUAAAGUGUCUCUGUUGGAAAUGUUUUGUGUGGA
Molecule: non-coding RNA, 265 nt
Organism: Pelobates cultripes (western spadefoot toad)
Lineage: Eukaryota; Metazoa; Chordata; Amphibia; Anura; Pelobatidae
Source: the annotation of a GenBank genome assembly